GAGAAAAAAUUAACAUCAGAUGGCCUCUAGAGUUUCCUCAAACACUUCAUUAGAAAUUAAUGUAGAGUCCUAAUUAAUUCAUUCUCUCUCUCUCUCUCUCUCUCUCUCUCUCUCUCUACUGAAAGUGUUUGGGGGAACCCUUGGAGUCAUUUGAUCCAUAUAUAAACC
Molecule: microRNA precursor, 168 nt
Filed under: Malus domestica (apple)
Lineage: Eukaryota; Viridiplantae; Streptophyta; Magnoliopsida; Rosales; Rosaceae
Description: miR395k stem-loop (mdm-MIR395k)
Gene: mdm-MIR395k
Source: miRBase by way of RNAcentral